GGCACGCCUAACACAUGCAAGUCGAACGCAGUAGCAAUACUGAGUGGCAGACGGGUGAGUAUAAUGUGGGAAUCUGCCUUUUGGUUUGGAAUAACACGGGGAAACUUGUGCUAAUACCGAAUAAGCCUUUACAGGGAAAGUUUUAACGCCGAAAGAUGAGCCCGCACUUGAUUAGCUAGUUGGUAAGGUAAAAGCUUACCAAGGCAACGAUCAAUAGCUGUUCUUAGAGGAAGACCAGCCACAUUGGGACUGAGACACGGCCCAGACUCCUACGGGAGGCAGCAGUGGGGAAUCUUGCACAAUGGGGGAAACCCUGAUGCAGCGAUGCCGCGUGAGUGAAGAAGGCCCUUGGGUUGUAAAACUCUUUCGUCGGGGAAGAAAAUGACUGUACCCGAAUAAGAAGGUCCGGCUAACUUCGUGCCAGCAGCCGCGGUAAUACGAAGGGACCUAGCGUAGUUCGGAAUUACUGGGCUUAAAGAGCUCGUAGGUGGUUAAAAAAGUUGAUGGUGAAAUCCCAAGGCUUAACCUUGGAACUGCCAUCAAAACUUUUUAGCUAGAGUGUGAUAGAGGUAAGUGGAAUUUCUAGUGUAGAGGUGAAAUUCGUAGAUAUUAGAAAGAACACCAAAUGCGAAGGCAACUUACUGGGUCACUACUGACACUGAGGAGCGAAAGCAUGGGUAGCGAAGAGGAUUAGAUACCCUCGUAGUCCAUGCCGUAAACGAUGUGUGCUAGACGUUGGAAAUAUAUUUUUCAGUGUCGCAGCGAAAGCAUUAAGCACACCGCCUGGGGAGUACGAC
This 797-nucleotide ribosomal RNA is filed under the name uncultured Pelagibacteraceae bacterium. RNAcentral's name for it is "bacterial SSU rRNA". It matches the Rfam family "Bacterial small subunit ribosomal RNA", at positions 41 to 886 of the family's 1533-position model. The record is from RNAcentral. Lineage: Bacteria; Pseudomonadati; Pseudomonadota; Alphaproteobacteria; Candidatus Pelagibacterales; Candidatus Pelagibacteraceae.